This 253-nucleotide ribosomal RNA is filed under the name uncultured bacterium. RNAcentral describes it as "partial 16S ribosomal RNA". It matches the Rfam family "Bacterial small subunit ribosomal RNA", at positions 524 to 776 of the family's 1533-position model. The record is from RNAcentral.
UACGGAGGAUCCAAGCGUUAUCCGGAUUUAUUGGGUUUAAAGGGUGCGUAGGUGGCUUAUUAAGUCAGGGGUGAAAGACGGUAGCUUAACUAUCGCAGUGCCUUUGAUACUGAUGAGCUUGAAUGUACUAGAGGUAGGCGGAAUGUGACAAGUAGCGGUGAAAUGCAUAGAUAUCGUCAGGAACGCCAAUGGUGAAGACAGGUGACUGGGCUAGAUCUGACACUGAGGCACGAAAGCGUGGGGAGCGAACGGG